CCUACGGGAGGCAGCAGUGGGGAAUAUUGCACAAUGGGCGCAAGCCUGAUGCAGCGACGCCGCGUGAGGGAUGGAGGCCUUCGGGUUGUAAACCUCUUUCGCCAGUGAAGCAGGCCUGUCCCUUGUGGGUGGGUUGACGGUAGCUGGAUAAGAAGCGCCGGCUAACUACGUGCCAGCAGCCGCGGUAAUACGUAGGGCGCGAGCGUUGUCCGGAAUUAUUGGGCGUAAAGAGCUCGUAGGCGGCUGGUCGCGUCUGUCGUGAAAUCCUCUGGCUUAACUGGGGGCUUGCGGUGGGUACGGGCCGGCUUGAGUGCGGUAGGGGAGACUGGAACUCCUGGUGUAGCGGUGGAAUGCGCAGAUAUCAGGAAGAACACCGGUGGCGAAGGCGGGUCUCUGGGCCGUUACUGACGCUGAGGAGCGAAAGCGUGGGGAGCGAACAG
This 440-nucleotide ribosomal RNA is filed under the name uncultured bacterium. RNAcentral's name for it is "bacterial SSU rRNA". It matches the Rfam family "Bacterial small subunit ribosomal RNA", at positions 338 to 775 of the family's 1533-position model. The record is from RNAcentral.